This is a long non-coding RNA of Zophobas morio, 414 nucleotides long. RefSeq lists it as uncharacterized. Lineage: Eukaryota; Metazoa; Arthropoda; Insecta; Coleoptera; Tenebrionidae. The transcript is spliced from 3 exons. The record is from RefSeq and is a predicted model, not a curated record.
GUACUUAGUAUUACUUUUGAAUAUGAAUAUGCAGUCGUUUCUGCUGCUUCCGCUUCUACGACCGUUCGGGUUCGAAACUCUUUCAUUUUUAUUGAGAAGGGACUGUUUGAGAAACUUAGCAUCAAAGUUGACCAAAAAUUAAGUUUGCAAAAUAUCUGUUACAGAUAUUACAUAGACUGUAAGGGUGGCAGCAAUCCCGCGGUGUCAUUGUUUUUCGUUAGGAGUAAAUAUGAAUUACGUGUCUUGGAAGGAUGAUUGUGAAUCACAAAUCGGGAGAUGCUCAGGAUAUAUUAAACAACAGCUUACUGCUUGCGAGGUGCGCUAAGCCUCGAAAUGGAUUACGGACUUUAAUUAAUAACACUAAAGCUUAAAGUAAUACAGUGAACUUCCUCUUAAAUAAAUCUGUUCUCCGAA